Non-coding RNA from Lingula anatina, 46 nucleotides. Lineage: Eukaryota; Metazoa; Brachiopoda; Lingulata; Lingulida; Lingulidae. The record is from Rfam.
GAAACGGUCCUUUUCAGGACCAACCCUAUCUUUCCAGAAAUGUUUG